Molecule: non-coding RNA, 30 nt
Filed under: Mus musculus (house mouse)
Lineage: Eukaryota; Metazoa; Chordata; Mammalia; Rodentia; Muridae
Source: RNAcentral
UGGGUGUUUGCGAGCCUGAUUGCUAUCAUG